Molecule: ribosomal RNA, 468 nt
Filed under: uncultured bacterium
Lineage: Bacteria
Description: partial 16S ribosomal RNA
Rfam family: Bacterial small subunit ribosomal RNA
Source: RNAcentral
GACGAACGCUGGCGGCGUGCUUAACACAUGCAAGUCGAACGGAAAGGCCCUGCUUUUGUGGGGUGCUCGAGUGGCGAACGGGUGAGUAACACGUGAGUAACCUGCCCUUGACUUUGGGAUAACUUCAGGAAACUGGGGCUAAUACCGGAUAGGAGCUCCUGCUGCAUGGUGGGGGUUGGAAAGUUUCGGCGGUUGGGGAUGGACUCGCGGCUUAUCAGCUUGUUGGUGGGGUAGUGGCUUACCAAGGCUUUGACGGGUAGCCGGCCUGAGAGGGUGACCGGGCACAUUGGGACUGAGAGACGGACCAGACUCCUACGGGAGGCAGCAGUGGGGAAUAUUGCACAGUGGGCGGAAGCCUGAUGCAGCAACGCCGCGUGCGGGAUGACGGCCUUCGGGUUGUAAACCGCUUUCGCCUGUGACGAAGCGUGAGUGACGGUAAUGGGUAAAGAAGCACCGGCUAACUACGUG